GAUGAAGAACGUAGCGAAAUGCGAUAAGUAAUGUGAAUUGCAGAAUUCAGUGAAUCAUCGAAUCUUUGAACGCACAUUGCGCCCAUUAGCAUUCUAGUGGGCAUGCCUGUUCGAGCGUCAUUUCAACCCUUAAGCCCUGUUGCUUAGCGUUGGGAGCCUACAGUACUGUAGCUCCCCAAAGUUAGUGGCGGAGUCGGUUUCACACUCUAGACGUAGUAAAUUUUUCUCGUCUGUAGUUGAGCCGGUCCCCUGCCGUAAAACAUCCACUUUAUCAAGGUUGACCUCGGAUCAGGUAGGAAUACCCGCUGAACUUAAGCAUAUCAAUAAGCGGAGGA
Molecule: unclassified non-coding RNA, 335 nt
Filed under: soil metagenome
Description: partial contains 5.8S ribosomal RNA, internal transcribed spacer 2, and large subunit ribosomal RNA
Rfam family: 5.8S ribosomal RNA (bases 1-120)
Source: RNAcentral